UACGGAGGUGGCAAGCGUUGUUCGGAAUUACUGGGCGUAAAGGGCGCGUAGGCGGCCUUCUAAGUCAGACGUGAAAUCCCCCGGCUUAACCUGGGAACUGCGUCUGAUACUGGGAGGCUUGAGUAUGGGAGAGGGAUGUAGAAUUCCAGGUGUAGCGGUGAAAUGCGUAGAUAUCUGGAGGAAUACCGGUGGCGAAGGCGGCAUCCUGGACCAUUACUGACGCUGAGGCGCGAAAGCGUGGGGAGCAAACAGG
This 253-nucleotide ribosomal RNA is filed under the name uncultured bacterium. RNAcentral's name for it is "partial 16S ribosomal RNA". It matches the Rfam family "Bacterial small subunit ribosomal RNA", at positions 524 to 776 of the family's 1533-position model. The record is from RNAcentral.